This 253-nucleotide ribosomal RNA is filed under the name uncultured bacterium. Its description in RNAcentral is "partial 16S ribosomal RNA". It matches the Rfam family "Bacterial small subunit ribosomal RNA", at positions 524 to 776 of the family's 1533-position model. The record is from RNAcentral.
UACGUAGGGUGCGAGCGUUAAUCGGAAUUACUGGGCGUAAAGCGUGCGCAGGCGGUUUUGUAAGACAGAUGUGAAAGCCCCGGGCUUAACCUGGGAAUGGCAUUUGGGACUGCAAGGCUUGAGUGCGGCAGAGGAGACUGGAAUUCCUGGUGUAGCAGUGAAAUGCGUAGAUAUGCGGAGGAACACCGAUGGCGAAGGCAAUCCCCUGGGCCUGCACUGACGCUCAUGCACGAAAGCGUGGGGAGCAAACAGG